Molecule: ribosomal RNA, 468 nt
Filed under: uncultured bacterium
Lineage: Bacteria
Description: partial 16S ribosomal RNA
Rfam family: Bacterial small subunit ribosomal RNA
Source: RNAcentral
GACGAACGCUGGCGGCGUGCUUAACACAUGCAAGUCGAACGGAAAGGCCCUGCUUUUGUGGGGUGCUCGAGUGGCGAACGGGUGAGUAAUACGUGAGUAACCUGCCCUUGACUUUGGGAUAACUUUAGGAAACUGGGGCUAAUACCGGAUAGGAGCUCCUGCUGCAUGGUGGGGGUUGGAAAGUUUCGGCGGUUGGGGAUGGACUCGCGGCUUAUCAGCUUGUUGGUGGAGUAGUGGAUUACCAAGGUUUUGAAGGGUAGCCGGCCUGAGAGGGUGACCGGCCACAUUGGGACUGAGAUACGGCCCAGAGUCCUACGGGAGGCAGCAGUGGGGAAUAUGGCACAAUGGGCGCAAGCCUGAUGCAGCAACGCCGCGAGCGGGAAGACGGCCUUCGGGUUAUAAACCGCUUUCGCCUGUGACAAAGCGUGAGUGACGGUAAUGGGUAAAUAAGCACCGGCUAACUACGUG